AGACGCUGCCUGGCCGCGCGCGCAGGCGCAGGCGCAGGCGCAGAGGCCGACACCACGGGGCGGCUGGUAUGUGUCCACCGGCCCCUAGGCGCCUCGAGCCCCGCCCCUGGGAGACGCAGGCUCCUCCCCGCGGAGCGAGAGCCCGCGGAGCUGCUCCGAGACCCGCGGGAGGGCACCUCCGGUCACCCGAGCCGCAAAUCCCCGCCGUCCGAAGGGGGUGUCGCCCCGGGCUGUCGGCCCAGCGUGGCUUAGGCCAGGUACAACCGGCAGCGCCCGCCAAGCCCUGGGCUAGGGACGCCUGCGGGAGUUCACGGGGAGGCGCCGGUGUCUGAGGUCUGAGAAGACAGCGGCCACCGGAAAAGGUGCUAAUGUUUGCAGACCCCGAUCCAUCGACACCCCAAGGAAAUGCUGUGCACAAAAUUCCAAGAGGGCCUUUUCGAAUAGACGCAUGAACGGUGUUUGUGUCUGGAUCGUCCAGCCUCCCGGGAUCGAUUGGGAAUCUAGCUUCUGCUUGCCUUUCCAGCGCGACGCACAGUAGGAGCCUAAUAAAUGUUUGCUGAAUGAAUGCUGAAUAUCGAACUCAGCUCCCUGGAACUUUGGAUCUGUGUGUGACACAUGAGCCUCAUUGUUGGAGUUCUCCAGCUCUGGAGGGGCUGAAGGAGCCGCAAUGAUUCUAGAAGAUGACUCCAUACAGCAACUACUGAAGAAAGGACCAGACUUCAGCUGGGAAUGUGGAUGGGCCGACCUGGCUGGGACCCAUGAAUCUGGAGAAGAGCUGGAGAAUGGAGAGUAUUAUCUGUAUUUGAGGACUUUAAUUUCUGUGUAAGACCAAAGGAGGAGAGACACAUUUUGUUCAAAAUUUAAAUUUUAUGUGGUACACUAUCUGAUAUAACCUGUCUAGUGAGUUUGUUUGGACAACCUAAUUCAGCUUUAUCUGACAUGGAACCUGAACUAGAGGAUGAGAUCUUGAUAUUCUGUACAAGUUGAUGUAAUACCCUGAUGCAUUUCGGGGACUCGGCAUAAAAUGAAAGAGAUUUGCAAAGACUCUUGAGGGGCUGGGGGAUGAGAGUGUGGAACUGUACAUUGGACCCUAAACUGGAGUGGAAGAGGCAUCUUCAAUGUUCAUACAUUGUCCAGCUAUAAGUUCAUUUAAGUAGCAGACCUGAUAAAUAUUUGAGGUCAAAACCCUACCAUGUUUUUUUUAAAACUUACCAUGUUAAUCAAAGUAUUCAUUUGCUUGAAAAGAAAAAAAAGUUGGGUAAAGAAUCUAAAUGGACAUUUCUCAAAAGACUAUAUACAAUGUGCCAUGAGGACAUGAAAAAAUGGUCAACAUCACUAGUCAUUAGUGAUGCAGAUCACUAGAAAAUGCAAAUCAAAACUAGAAUGAGGCUGGGCACAGUGGCUCAUGCCUGUAAUCCGAGCACUUUGGGAGGCUGAGGCAGGUGGAUCACCUUAGGUCAGGAGUUCAACACCAGCCUGGCCAACAUGGUGAAACCCCGUGUCUCCCAAAAAUACAAAAAUUAGCCGGACGUGGUGGUGGGUGCCUGUAAUCCUAGCUAUUCAGGAGGCUGAAGCAGGAGAAUCACUUGAACCCGGGAGGCAGAGGUUGCAGUGAGCUGAGAUUGUGCCACUGCACUCCAGCCUGGGCGACAGAGUGAGGCUCUGUCUCAAAAAAGAAAAAAAAAAACUUGAAUAAGAUAAAAUUCACACGUGUUAGGAUGACUAUAAUAAAAUUAAAAUGGAAAAUAACAAGUGUCUGUUUGGAGAGGAUGUGGAGAAAUCAGAACCCUCAUACAUUGCUAGUAAGAUGUUCAAUGGUUAUAGCCAUUUGGGAAAACAGUCUGGCAGUUCCUCCAAAGGUUAAACAUAGAGUAACCAUGUGACCUAGCAAUUUCACUCCUAGCUAUACAGCCAAGAGAACUGAAAGCAUAUGCCCACACCAGAUCAUGUGCACGAAUGUUCAUAGCAGAUUUAUUCAUAAUAGCCAAAAAGCAGAAACAACUCAAAUGUCCAUCAAUAGAUGAAUAAACAAAAUGUGGCAUAUCCAGGCAACGGAACAUUAUUCAGCCCCCAAAAGCAAUGAAACACUGGUCCAUGCUGCAGUGUUGGUGAACCUUGGAAACAUUAUGCCAAGCCAAAGAAGCCAGAUACAAAAGGCCACAAAAUUAUAUGAGUCCAUUUCUAUGACAGAUUGGAACAGGCAAAUCCAUAGAAAGGAAGACGAAUGGUUGCCAGGACUUAGGGGGAGAGGAGAAUGAGGAGUUAGUGCUUAGUUGAUACAGGGUUCCUGGUGGGGAUGAUGAAAACGUUCUGGAAUGAGAUCGUGGUGAUGGUGACAUAACUCUAUGAAUAUUUUUUAAAGUAUUGCAUUGUACACUUUAAAAUUUUUUUUGUAAAGGCAGUUUGCCAGGUCUCGAACUCCUGGACUCAAGUGACCCACCCAUCAUGGCCUCUCAAAGUGCUGGGAUUACAGGCAUGAGGCACCAUGCCUGGCAUGUAUACUUUAAAUGGGGAAACUGGGUGAAGGGUACAUGGGACCUCCCUGCACUGUCUUUAGAACUUCCUGUGAAUCUAUCACAACUCAAAAUAAAGACAAACCAACAAAAG
Molecule: long non-coding RNA, 2607 nt
Organism: Homo sapiens (human)
Lineage: Eukaryota; Metazoa; Chordata; Mammalia; Primates; Hominidae
Source: Ensembl